Molecule: ribosomal RNA, 165 nt
Filed under: uncultured bacterium
Lineage: Bacteria
Description: partial 16S rRNA
Rfam family: Bacterial small subunit ribosomal RNA
Source: RNAcentral
UAGGGAAUCUUCGGCAAUGGACGAAAGUCUGACCGAGCAACGCCGCGUGAGUGAAGAAGGUUUUCGAAUCGUAAAACUCUGUUGGUAGAGAAGAACGUUGGUGAGAGUGGAAAGCUCAUCAAGUGACGGUAACUACCCAGAAAGGGACGGCUAACUACGUGCCGG